RNAcentral lists this ribosomal RNA (494 nucleotides) under uncultured bacterium. RNAcentral describes it as "bacterial SSU rRNA". It matches the Rfam family "Bacterial small subunit ribosomal RNA", at positions 791 to 1284 of the family's 1533-position model. The record is from RNAcentral.
UAGUCCACGCCGUAAACGAUGGAUACUAGCUGUCCGAGGCCUUGAGUCUUGGGCGGCCAAGCGAAAGUGAUAAGUAUCCCACCUGGGGAGUACGUUCGCAAGAAUGAAACUCAAAGGAAUUGACGGGGGGCCCGCACAAGCGGUGGAGCAUGUGGUUUAAUUCGAUGAUACGCGAGGAACCUUACCAGGGCUUAAAUGCAUAUUGACAGGGGUAGAGAUACCUUUUCCUUCGGGCAAUUUGCAAGGUGCUGCAUGGUUGUCGUCAGCUCGUGCCGUGAGGUGUCAGGUUAAGUCCUAUAACGAGCGCAACCCCUGCCGUUAGUUGCCAGCAUGUAAAGAUGGGGACUCUAACGGGACUGCCGGUGCAAACCGCGAGGAAGGUGGGGAUGACGUCAAAUCAUCACGGGCCCUUACGUCCUGGGGCCACACACGUGCUACAAUGGUAGGUACAGAGAGCAGCCAUGUCGCAAGGCAGAGCGAAUCUAACAAAACCU